This 87-nucleotide transfer RNA is filed under the name Pseudomonadota bacterium. Its description in RNAcentral is "tRNA-Leu". It matches the Rfam family "tRNA". From Rfam's summary of the family: Transfer RNA (tRNA) molecules are approximately 80 nucleotides in length. RNAcentral also lists the same sequence under 4 other names. The record is from RNAcentral. Lineage: Bacteria; Pseudomonadati; Pseudomonadota.
GGGGAUAUGGCGGAAUUGGUAGACGCGUACGCUUCAGGGGCGUAUGGGCAAAAGCCCGUGAGAGUUCGAAUCUCUCUAUCCCCACCA